This 460-nucleotide ribosomal RNA is filed under the name uncultured bacterium. RNAcentral's name for it is "partial 16S ribosomal RNA". It matches the Rfam family "Bacterial small subunit ribosomal RNA", at positions 338 to 795 of the family's 1533-position model. The record is from RNAcentral.
CCUACGGGAGACUGCAGUGAGGAAUAUUGGUCAAUGGACGAGAGUCUGAACCAGCCAAGUAGCGUGAAGGAUGACUGCCCUAUGGGUUGUAAACUUCUUUUAUAAAGGAAUAAAACGAGGCACGUGUGCCUUUUUGCAUGUACUUUAUGAAUAAGGAUCGGCUAACUCCGUGCCAGCAGCCGCGGUAAUACGGAGGAUCCGAGCGUUAUCCGGAUUUAUUGGGUUUAAAGGGAGCGUAGAUGGGUUGUUAAGUCAGUUGUGAAAUUUUGCGGCUCAACCGUAAAAUUGCAAUUGAUACUGGCAGUCUUGAGUACAGUUGAGGUAGGCGGAAUUCGUGGUGUAGCGGUGAAAUGCUUAGAUAUCACGAAGAACCCCGAUUGCGAAGGCAGCUUACUAAACUGUGACUGACAUUGAUGCUCGAAAGUGUGGGUAUCAAACAGGAUUAGAUACCCGAGUAGUC